CUCUUCGUAUAUUAUGCCCCUUUAAGAGUUUGUAUUCCAGUUUAUAGUUUCAUUGAUAGAAGACCUGCGUACGAGAUAUCUAUUGCACCAAAGGUUUUAAGUAGAAAGUUCGCCUUUCGAAAAUUAAUUGGACGCCAUCACGACUGAGUAUACCGUCAAGAUUAUUUGUAUGUCUGGUGACUAUUCAUAUAUUCCCGUUCUCGUAACCAGAACCGUUACUUAUUAUCAGUGUCCACCAGAUGUUAAAAUAUUUGUUCAUUUCGUUUAGUAGUGCAAAAGAAAGGUGUGAUUGAAAUCAAAUACUAAUGAAAAUUUCGAAGUUAAAGUAAACGAGAAUUUGUAGCAGAUACAAACGGGUUCAUACGGAACAAAUAAUCACUUUUGCGGUGCUAAAGUAAUUGAUCAAGCCAUCUGUUGAGAUGUAAAUUAGAAAAUUAAGAGGAGAACAUUUUAUAGACAAACGGACGGAUUCUUAGUUAUGAGGGUAUUUUUUUAACACAUAUUUUUUUCUGAAAAAUCAAUGCCUUUCUUCUUCUUUGGUUCCACUUUAGAUGUGAAUUUGAAGCAUCUUUUACCAUCAUAAUGAACAGCAAUGCAGUCGUUAAACUUUCUACAAUAACUCUCACAUUCCUUAAAAGAGGGCUCUUCCCAAACUGUUUGAAUUUCAUCAGGUCCUUUGUAUUUUUUAUUGACUUCAUGGAGCAUGAUAUACAAUUUUUGACAUAGAAGGAGCUUUCCUUGAUAUCCUCUGCAAUAUAUUUCUGUUCACUGUAUAAAAAACCUGUUUUUUGCAGGUAUCUGAACGCCAUACAAGCUGUAUGAUGAAUGCAAACAUAUUCACAAUUUUCUAAA
RNAcentral lists this long non-coding RNA (852 nucleotides) under Mytilus galloprovincialis (Mediterranean mussel). Lineage: Eukaryota; Metazoa; Mollusca; Bivalvia; Mytilida; Mytilidae. The record is from RNAcentral.